Molecule: ribosomal RNA, 253 nt
Filed under: uncultured bacterium
Lineage: Bacteria
Description: partial 16S ribosomal RNA
Rfam family: Bacterial small subunit ribosomal RNA
Source: RNAcentral
UACGGAGGGUGCAAGCGUUAUCCGGAUUCACUGGGUUUAAAGGGUGCGUAGGAGGGCAGGUAAGUCAGUGUUGAAAUCUUCGAGCUUAACUCGGAAACUGCCGUUGAUACUAUCUGUCUUGAAUACCGUGGAGGUGAGCGGAAUAUGUCAUGUAGCGGUGAAAUGCUUAGAUAUGACAUAGAACACCAAUUGCGAAGGCAGCUCGCUACACGAAUAUUGACUCUGAGGCACGAAAGCGUGGGGAUCAAACAGG